Molecule: long non-coding RNA, 1242 nt
Filed under: Ornithorhynchus anatinus (platypus)
Lineage: Eukaryota; Metazoa; Chordata; Mammalia; Monotremata; Ornithorhynchidae
Description: lncRNA (ENSOANG00000036440.1)
Source: RNAcentral
GCCGAAGCAACUGAGCCAGGAAAAGGCCAUGAAUUACAAGCCACUUCAUCAAAGCUUCCUAAGGAGCACAGGGCCAACUUUGGAAGAUUUCCAGUCGAGGUUUCCGCGGGUGAAAUGGGCUAGAACCUUUGAGCCGUUAAGAAGGAGGCUGAGUCUGUGCGAGACGCGCAACUUUGCUCCCGUUGAAGAAGAAACCUGGUGCUUCUCGCUGGGUGCAACAUUUGCAGCUUGAACUGGAGAGGACGUUUGUCCAGGGGUCUCCAUGAACACGUACGAAAUCCGUUAAUGUCAGUUUUAUUUCAUGCAUAGGGACAUGGCUCUUGAUGGACCUCUUUGGGCUUGUUUUCUUAUUGGCUUGGAGGCUGCCUGCCUGACAGCUGCCGUCCAGAUAUGCUGGGCCUGGUUGCCCGGCUUGUUGCCCUCAGCCUGCCGCCCACCUGAACUCUUUUGGGAGCAGCCAUGAGGCUCCCCAGGAUGACAGAGGCCCUGAGGGACCAGGGCAGUCCCCAGAUUCUCCCUGUCGAUCGGGAGUUAGGAGAAUGUCAUUUUUUCGGGUGAGAAUCCGGGAUAAAUGGGUCCACAAAAAUUCCCUCCGUCUGAGACUGCAGAGAACUUUUUUGUGUUCCUUGGUAGUGGACGGCUAAGAGAAGUACAGAGUCAUGCUAAAAUUAACAUCGGCAUACUGCAGAUUAAAGUAAACAUCUCGUCGUGGUGAGCCAAACCCUCGGAAGGGCCGGUCUCAAUCCUGGAACGGUUCCACUUCCCUCACGCUGGCAGUUAACGGCGAUAGUUUCGGGAGUCCAUUCGGCUUCAAAGAUCCCAGCUGCCCUGGGCCAGUAGGAACAGUGUUCAUACGUGGGCUCGUGAUGGGCGGUAAACUUCAUUCAUUCAUUCAUUCAUUCAAUAGUAUUUAUUGAGCGCUUACUCUGUGCAGAGCACUGUACUAAGCGCUUGGAAUGUACAAGUCGGCCACAGAACUUGCCUGUGCUCCCGUGAGUGCUUAAUACAGUUCUCUGCACACAGUAAGUGCUCAGUAAAUAUCAUUGCUUGAUACCACGGUAUGGUAGGCGAGAUGGAAAUGAUGGAGGUAGGAGAAGAGGCAGGAGGGGUCUCCCCUUUUUUUAUUUUACAGUGACUUAAAGUUCACAUCGACUGAAGAGCUUACUCUGUUUUUCUGUGUAAAUGGAUGGGAAAAAGAGGAGCUUGAAAGUUUUAAUUUUGAGUCCAGGAGCAAAAUGGGGG